GGGGAAUAUKSCACAAUGGGCGCAAGCCUGAUGCAGCUAUGCCGCGUGUAUGAAGAAGGCCUUAGGGUUGUAAAGUACUUUCAAUAAGGAAGAAGUAAUAAAAUAUAAUAUGUUUUAUUAUUGACGUUACUUAUAAAAGAAGCACCGGCUAACUCCGUGCCAGCAGCCGCGGUAAUACGGAGGGUGCUAGCGUUAAUCGGAAUUACUGGGCGUAAAGAGCACGUAGGCGGUUUAUUAAGUCAGAUGUGAAAUCCCUAAGCUUAACUUAGGAACUGCAUUUGAAACUAAUUUACUUGAGUAUCAUAGAGGGGAGUAGAAUUCCAGGUGUAGCGGUGAAAUGCGUAGAUAUCUGGAGGAAUACCAGUGGCGAAGGCGACUCCCUGGAUGAAUACUGACGCUCAGGUGCGAAAGCAUGGGUAGCAAACAGGAUUAGAUACCCUGGUAGUCCAUGCUGUAAACGAUGUCGACUUGGAGGUUGUAAGCUUGUCUUGUAGCUUCCGUAGCUAACGCGUUAAGUCGACCGCCUGGGGAGUACGACCGCAAGGUUAAAACUCAAAUGAAUUGACGGGGGCCCGCACAAGCGGUGGAGCAUGUGGUUUAAUUCGAUGCAACGCGAAAAACCUUACCUGGUCUUGACAUCCAUGGAAUUUAAUAGAGAUAUUUUAGUGCCUUCGGGAACCAUGAGACAGGUGCUGCAUGGCUGUCGUCAGCUCGUGUUGUGAAAUGUUGGGUUAAGUCCCGCAACGAGCGCAACCCUUGUCCUUUGUUGCCAACGGUUCGGCCGGGAACUCAAAGGAGACUGCUGGUGAUAAGCCGGAGGAAGGUGGGGAUGACGUCAAGUCAUCAUGGCCCUUACGACCAGGGCUACACACGUGCUACAAUGGUAUAUACAAAGGGAAGCAUCCUCGCAAGAGUAAGCGGAUCUCAUAAAAUAUAUCUUAGUUCGGAUUGGAGUCUGCAACUCGACUCUAUGAAGUCGGAAUCGCUAGUAAUCGUAGAUCAGAAUGCUACGGUGAAUACGUUCCCGGGCCUUGUACACACCGCCCGUCACACCAUGGGAGUGGGUUGUAAAAGAAGUAGGUUGCUUAACCUUUAUGGAGAGCGCUUACCACUUUGUGAUUCAUAACUGGGGUGAAGUCGUAACAAG
This 1147-nucleotide ribosomal RNA is filed under the name bacterium endosymbiont of Neohaemonia melsheimeri. RNAcentral's name for it is "bacterial SSU rRNA". It matches the Rfam family "Bacterial small subunit ribosomal RNA", at positions 356 to 1495 of the family's 1533-position model. The record is from RNAcentral.